AUUGAACGCUGGCGGCAGGCCUAACACAUGCAAGUCGAGCGGAUGAGAGGAGCUUGCUCCUCGAUUCAGCGGCGGACGGGUGAGUAAUGCCUAGGAAUCUGCCUAGUAGUGGGGGACAACGUUUCGAAAGGAACGCUAAUACCGCAUACGUCCUACGGGAGAAAGUGGGGGAUCUUCGGACCUCACGCUAUUAGAUGAGCCUAGGUCGGAUUAGCUAGUUGGUAGGGUAACGGCCUACCAAGGCGACGAUCCGUAACUGGUCUGGGCGGAUGAUCAGUCACACUGGAAGUGAGACACGGUCCAGACUCCUACGGGAGGCAGCAGUGGGGAAGAUUGGACAAUGGGCAAAAGCCUGAUCCAGCCAUGCCGCGUGUGUGAAGAAGGCCCUCGGGUCGUAAAGCACUUUAAGUUGGGAGGAAGGGCUUACAGCGAAUACCUGUGAGUUUUGACGUUACCGACAGAAUAAGCACCGGCUAACUUCGUGCCAGCAGCCGCCGCCG
RNAcentral lists this ribosomal RNA (500 nucleotides) under uncultured bacterium. RNAcentral describes it as "partial 16S ribosomal RNA". It matches the Rfam family "Bacterial small subunit ribosomal RNA", at positions 30 to 523 of the family's 1533-position model. The record is from RNAcentral.